CCUACGGGGGGCUGCAGUAGGGAAUCUUCCACAAUGGGCGAAAGCCUGAUGGAGCAACGCCGCGUGGGUGAAGAAGGUCUUCGGAUCGUAAAACCCUGUUGUUAGAGAAGAAAGUGCGUGAGAGUAACUGUUCACGUUUCGACGGUAUCUAACCAGAAAGCCACGGCUAACUACGUGCCAGCAGCCGCGGUAAUACGUAGGUGGCAAGCGUUAUCCGGAUUUAUUGGGCGUAAAGGGAACGCAGGCGGUCUUUUAAGUCUGAUGUGAAAGCCUUCGGCUUAACCGGAGUAGUGCAUUGGAAACUGGGAGACGUGAGUGCAGAAGAGGAGAGUGGAACUCCAUGUGUAGCGGUGAAAUGCGUAGAUAUAUGGAAGAACACCAGUGGCGAAAGCGGCUCUCUGGUCUGUAACUGACGCUGAGGUUCGAAAGCGUGGGUAGCAAACAGGAUUAGAACCCCGGUAGUC
Molecule: ribosomal RNA, 464 nt
Filed under: uncultured bacterium
Lineage: Bacteria
Description: partial 16S ribosomal RNA
Rfam family: Bacterial small subunit ribosomal RNA
Source: RNAcentral